UUGACGCAGGUGAGGAGACAUGAGUUUAUGGGUAAUUUGCGCCUGAGGCAUUUCUGUGAUGUCACUUUUUUCACCUUGGAGAUCUCAUCCAUCUU
Molecule: non-coding RNA, 95 nt
Organism: Triticum aestivum (bread wheat)
Lineage: Eukaryota; Viridiplantae; Streptophyta; Magnoliopsida; Poales; Poaceae
Source: Rfam